ACGGGACACGUGAAACCCUGUGGGAAGCAGGAGGGACCACCCUCCAAGGCUAAAUACUACCUAGUGACCGAUAGCGUAUAGUACCGUGAGGGAAAGGUGAAAAGAACCCCGGGAGGGGAGUGAAAUAGAACCUGAAACCCUGCACUUACAAGCUGUGGAAGCACAUUUCUUGUGUGACCGCGUACUUUUUGUAGAACGGGCCAACGAGUUACGUUAAGUAGCAAGGUUAAGCACUUAAGGUGCGGAGCCGUAGCGAAAGCGAGUUUUAACUGAGCGUUCAGUUACUUGACGUAGACCCGAAACCGGGCGACCUACCCAUGAGCAGGAUGAAGCGAAAGUAAAAUUUCGUGGAGGUCCGAACCCACGAGCGUUGAAAAGCUCGGGGAUGACUUGUGGGUAGCGGUGAAAUUCCAAUCGAGCCCGGAGAUAGCUGGUUCUCCCCGAAAUAGCUUUAGGGCUAGCCUCAAGGUGAGAGAUACGGAGGUAGAGCACUGAAUGUCCUAGGGGGUAUUGCACCUACCGAAGACUAUCAAACUCCGAAUGCCGUCAUCUUAUACUUGGGAGUCAGACUGUGGGUGAUAAGAUUCAUAGUCGAAAGGGCAACAGCCCAGAUCGUCAGCUAAGGUCCCUAAAUGUAAGUUAAGUGGUAAAGGAUGUGGGAUUGCACAGACAACCAGGAUGUUGGCUUAGAAGCAGCCACUCAUUCAAAGAGUGCGUAAUAGCUCACUGGUCGAGUGAUCCUGCGCCGAAGAUUUCCGGGGCUAAAACUUACUACCGAAGCUACGGCAUCAGUAAUGAUGGGUAGGGGAGCUUCCCAUACGGGUUGAAGCAUGACCGUAAGGACAUGUGGACAGUAUGGGAGUGAGAAUGUUGGCAUGAGUAGCGAGAUGUGGGUGAGAAUCCCACAGGCCGUAAACCCAAGGUUUCCAGGGGAAGGUUCGUCCGCCCUGGGUUAGUCGGGACCUAAGCUGAGGCCGAAAGGCGUAGGUGAUGGACAACAGGUUGAUAUUCCUGUACUACCGAUAACCGUUUGAGAGAAGGGAUGACACAGUAGGAUAAGCUAAGCACACUGUUGGUUAUGUGUGCCCAAGCAUUGAGGCAGUCAAAGUAGGCAAAUCCGCUUUGAUAAUGCUGGGAUGUGAUGGGGAGCGAAAUUUAGUAGCGAAGUAGCUGAUUUCACACUGUCAAGAAAAGUCUCUAUCGAGGUUAAAGGUACCCGUACCGCAAACCGACACAGGUGGGUGAGGAGAGUAUCCUAAGGCCAGCGAGAGAACUGUUGUUAAGGAACUCGGCAAAAUGACCCCGUAACUUAGGGAUAAGGGGUGCCACCAUCAGGUGGCCGCAGAGAAUAGGCCCAAGCGACUGUUUACCAAAAACAUAGGUUUCUGCUAAGUCGCAAGACGAUGUAUAGGAGCUGACGCCUGCCCGGUGCUGGAAGGUUAAGGGGAUCUGUUAGAGCAAUCGAAGCAGUGAACUUAAGCCCCAGUAAACGGCGGCCGUAACUAUAACGGUCCUAAGGUAGCGAAAUUCCUUGUCGGGUAAGUUCCGACCCGCACGAAAGGCGUAACGAUUUGGGCACUGUCUCAACAACAGACUCGGUGAAAUUGUAAUUCCGGUGAAGAUGCCGGAUACCUGCGACAGGACGGAAAGACCCCAUGGAGCUUUACUGUAGCUUGACAUUGGGUCUUGGUACUACAUGUACAGGAUAGGUGGGAGGCUUUGAAACCAGGACGCCAGUUUUGGCGGAGCCAUCCUUGGGAUACCACCCUUGUAGUACUGGGACUCUAACCAUAGGCCAUGAAUCUGGUCUUGGGACACUGUCAGGUGGGCAGUUUGACUGGGGCGGUCGCCUCCCAAAAGGUAACGGAGGCGCUCAAAGGUUCUCUCAGUACGGUCGGAAAUCGUACGUAGAGUGUAAAGGCAAAAGAGAGCUUGAUUGCAAGACAUACAGGUCGAGCAAGGAUGAAAAUCGGACUUAGUGAUCCGGUGGUUCUGCGUGGAAGGGCCAUCGCUCAACGGAUAAAAGCUACCCUGGGGAUAACAGGCUUAUCUCCCCCAAGAGUCCACAUCGACGGGGAGGUUUGGCACCUCGAUGUCGGCUCAUCACAUCCUGGGGCUGUAGUAGGUCCCAAGGGUUGGGCUGUUCGCCCAUUAAAGUGGUACGCGAGCUGGGUUCAGAACGUCGUGAGACAGUUCGGUCCCUAUCCGUCGCAGGCGUAGGAAAUUUGAGAAGACCUGUCCUUAGUACGAGAGGACCGGGAUGGACGUACCUCUGGUGUACCAGUUGUCCUGCCAAGGGCAUGGCUGGGUAGCUAUGUACGGAAUGGAUAAGCGCUGAAAGCAUCUAAGCGCGAAGCCAACUUCAAGAUAAGAUUUCCCACCGCAAGGGUAAGACCCCAGAAAGACUAUCUGGUUGAUAGGUCGAAGGUGUAAGUGCAGCAAUGUAUUUAGCUUAUCGAUACUAAUAGGUCGAGGACUUGACCAA
RNAcentral lists this ribosomal RNA (2485 nucleotides) under Clostridioides difficile. Its description in RNAcentral is "bacterial LSU rRNA". It matches the Rfam family "Bacterial large subunit ribosomal RNA", at positions 417 to 2925 of the family's 2925-position model. Lineage: Bacteria; Bacillati; Bacillota; Clostridia; Peptostreptococcales; Peptostreptococcaceae. The record is from RNAcentral.